This 468-nucleotide ribosomal RNA is filed under the name uncultured bacterium. RNAcentral describes it as "partial 16S ribosomal RNA". It matches the Rfam family "Bacterial small subunit ribosomal RNA", at positions 28 to 507 of the family's 1533-position model. The record is from RNAcentral.
GACGAACGCUGGCGGCGUGCUUAACACAUGCAAGUCGAACGGAAAGGCCCUGCUUUUGUGGGGUGCUCGAGUGGCGAACGGGUGAGUAACACGUGAGUAACCUGCCCUUGACUUUGGGAUAACUUCAUGAAACUGGGUCUAAUACCCGAUAGGAGCUCCUGCUGCGUGGUGGUGUUGGGAAAGUUUCGGCGGUUGGGGAUGGACUCGCGGCUUAUCAGCUUGUUGGUGGGGUAGUGGCUUACCAAGGCUUUGACGGGUAGCCGGCCUGAGAGGGUGACCGGCCACAUUGGGACUGAGAUACGGCCCAGACUCCUACGGGAGGCAGCAGUGGGGAAUAUUGCACAAUGGGCGGAAGCCUGAUGCAGCAACGCCGCGUGCGGGAUGACGGCCUUCGGGUUGUAAACCGCUUUCGCCUGUGGCGAAGCGUGAGUGACGGUAAUGGGUAAAGAAGCACCGGCUAACUACGUG